CAAGUUAUACCGCAUAAUAUCUGCGGAUAAAGGUGGCCUUUGUGCUGCCGCAGAUGGAUGAGCCUGCGUUGGAUUAGCUAGUUGGUGGGGUAAGGGCCUACCAAGGCUACGAUCCAUAGCUGAUUUGAGAGGAUGAUCAGCCACAUUGGGACUGAGACACGGCCCAAACUCCUACGGGAGGCAGCAGUGGGGAAUAUUGGACAAUGGGGGAAACCCUGAUCCAGCAAUGCCAUGUGUGUGAAGAAGGCUCUAGGGUUGUAAAGCACUUUAGUUGGGGAGGAAAGCCUAUAAGUUAAUAGCUUGUAGGAAGGACGUUACCCAAAGAAUAAGGACCGGCUAACUCCGUGCCAGCAGCCGCGGUAAUACGGGGGGUCCAAGCGUUAAUCGGAAUUACUGGGCGUAAAGGGUCUGUAGGUGGUUUGUUAAGUCAGAUGUGAAAGCCCAGGGCUCAACCUUGGAACUGCAUUUGAUACUGGCAAACUAGAGUAUGGUAGAGGAAUGGGGAAUUUCUGGUGUAGCGGUGAAAUGCGUAGAGAUCAGAAGGAACACCAAUGGCGAAGGCAACAUUCUGGACCAAUACUGACACUGAGGGACGAAAGCGUGGGGAUCAAACAGGAUUAGAUACCCUGGUAGUCCACGCUGUAAACGAUGAGUACUAGCUGUUGGAUUCGGUGUAAAGGAUCUAGUGGCGCAGCUAACGCGUUAAGUACUCCGCCUGGGGACUACGGCCGCAAGGCUAAAACUCAAAGGAAUUGACGGGGACCCGCACAAGCGGUGGAGCAUGUGGUUUAAUUCGAUGCAACGCGAAGAACCUUACCUGGUCUUGACAUCCUGCGAACUUUCUAGAGAUAGAUUGGUGCCUUCGGGAACGCAGUGACAGGUGCUGCACGGCUGUCGUCAGCUCGUGUUGUGAAAUGUUGGGUUAAGUCCCGCAACGAGCGCAACCCCUAUUGAUAGUUACCAUCAUUAAGUUGGGUACUCUAUUGAGACUGCCGCUGACAAGGCGGAGGAAGGUGGGGACGACGUCAAGUCAUCAUGGCCCUUACGACCAGGGCUACACACGUGCUACAAUGGGUAUUACAGAGGGCUGCGAAGUGCGAG
RNAcentral lists this ribosomal RNA (1101 nucleotides) under Francisella philomiragia. Its description in RNAcentral is "bacterial SSU rRNA". It matches the Rfam family "Bacterial small subunit ribosomal RNA", at positions 160 to 1261 of the family's 1533-position model. Lineage: Bacteria; Pseudomonadati; Pseudomonadota; Gammaproteobacteria; Thiotrichales; Francisellaceae. The record is from RNAcentral.